AUUAAGAUGGCAGAGUCUGGCAAUUGCGUAAGAUUUAAAACCUUACUAUCAGAGGUUCAACUCCUCUUCUUAAUA
Molecule: transfer RNA, 75 nt
Filed under: Sciurus anomalus (Caucasian squirrel)
Lineage: Eukaryota; Metazoa; Chordata; Mammalia; Rodentia; Sciuridae
Description: tRNA-Leu
Rfam family: tRNA
About the family: Transfer RNA (tRNA) molecules are approximately 80 nucleotides in length. Their secondary structure includes four short double-helical elements and three loops (D, anti-codon, and T loops).
Source: RNAcentral